Molecule: long non-coding RNA, 778 nt
Filed under: Homo sapiens (human)
Lineage: Eukaryota; Metazoa; Chordata; Mammalia; Primates; Hominidae
Description: alpha-1,3-mannosyl-glycoprotein 4-beta-N- acetylglucosaminyltransferase B (ENSG00000284501.2)
Source: RNAcentral
CCGAGCUGAGCCCGCAGGAGAAGGAGGACUCGGUCAUCGUGGUGCUGAUCGCCGAGACUGACUCACAGUACACUUCGGCAGUGACAGAGAACAUCAAGGCCUUGUUCCCCACGGAGAUCCAUUCUGGGCUCCUGGAGGUCAUCUCACCCUCCCCCCACUUCUACCCUGACUUCUCCCGCCUCCGAGAGUCCUUUGGGGACCCCAAGGAGAGAGUCAGGUGGAGGACCAAACAGAACCUCGAUUACUGCUUCCUCAUGAUGUACGCGCAGUCCAAAGGCAUCUACUACGUGCAGCUGGAGGAUGACAUCGUGGCCAAGCCCAACUACCUGAGCACCAUGAAGAACUUUGCACUGCAGCAGCCUUCAGAGGACUGGAUGAUCCUGGAGUUCUCCCAGCUGGGCUUCAUUGCACGUGGGCACUCACUCCUCGCUGGCUGGCAAGAUCCAGAAACUGAAGGACAAAGACUUUGGAAAGCAGGCGCUGCGGAAGGAGCAUGUGAACCCGCCAGCAGAGUGGGAACAUCGAGCACCCGGAGGACAAGCUCUUCAACACGUCUGUGGAGGUGCUGCCCUUCGACAACCCUCAGUCAGACAAGGAGGCCCUGCAGGAGGGCCGCACCGCCACCCUCCGGUACCCUCGGAGCCCCGACGGCUACCUCCAGAUCGGCUCCUUCUACAAGGGAGUGGCAGAGGGAGAGGUGGACCCAGCCUUCGGCCCUCUGGAAGCACUGCGCCUCUCGAUCCAGACGGACUCCCCUGUGUGGGUGAUUCUGAGCGAG